RNAcentral lists this long non-coding RNA (252 nucleotides) under Dasypus novemcinctus (nine-banded armadillo). RNAcentral describes it as "lncRNA (ENSDNOG00000050794.1)". The record is from RNAcentral. Lineage: Eukaryota; Metazoa; Chordata; Mammalia; Cingulata; Dasypodidae.
GUAUUUUUAAAGGUCAGAUGGAAUCAUAUAUUUCAUAGUUGUUACUUUUCUUUUUUUUAGGAGGUAUUGGGAAUUGAACCCAGGACCUGGUACAGGCACUCAACCACUGAUCUACAUCUGCUACCACCAGAUGUCUCUAGAGUACCUGGGAGAAUUCCUGUUCUCAAUUCUACUUCUGUUAUGUCACACUGCCGAAUAAAGUACAAUGAUAUCUAAGCAGCGACUUGUGUGACUUGCCCUUGGCCACCAACC